Molecule: long non-coding RNA, 1829 nt
Organism: Aphis gossypii (cotton aphid)
Lineage: Eukaryota; Metazoa; Arthropoda; Insecta; Hemiptera; Aphididae
Exons: 5
Source: RefSeq, a predicted model, not a curated record
CGUCAUAUCAUUCCAAAAAUGUCUUUCUUACAAAUCGCAAUACGUACUUAUUAGUAUGAUGUGUAUUAAUACAUAAUAACACCUAUUAUAAUGUUAAUAUUAGUACAGUCAGCGUACGAAAUCAUCAUUAUUUAUAUUGGCCAUACCACCUAUGGACUAGUCGAUUUUGCGAUCUUUUCAUUUACAUAAUCAUCUUCACCAAAGAUUAUUGAAACACUGAAGAUCGAUAUCGAUGAAUCGUUGACGCCAGUUUAUAUUUUAAUUUAGUGUGAACUGAUGGAUAAAUUCAUGUGUUUAAAAUCAAGGAGACGAGACGUGGAGUGGUUUCUAACUGGUUGGAUUGGCGGUUAAUACGUCGGGACCACUACAUACCAUUUGGCAUAGCUGUACAGUAUAUACACACGAUUGCUGCUGCUGCGGAUUCGCCACCGAUUUAAUAUCGGACUGCCACUUCCACGUGUCCAAAGUAAUUUAUAACUCGUUGUUUUCGAACCUUGCAACUUUGGCAGUCCCCUGUUCAUUGUUUCUACUUUCUUACGUCCAAGUCGUAAGUUGAAUACAAACUGGUCAAAAAAUAAGUCGAUGGGAUAUGAUCGUGUCCCGUGUCCGUGUAAAAGCAGAAUUCCGCGUAACGAAACAAGUAAAACCGCUUGCUCAAUCCACGUGUUGUACUUACCAAUAUAAUAUGUAUACAUGAAAUUCUGACACGUGAGCUGUAUCCUCGGGCCGUACACUAAGGAUAAUCCUAAUCUUGUUCCACGUGUAAAACUGAAGGGCGAUGACGUUGGAGAUAUACUCGGAAUUCCAAUGGAAAUGAUACAGAUAAAUCUAUAUUACUAGGUUAAGUUUCAAAGAUCUGGAAAAUAAGAGAAGCAAAAAAUAAAAACGUUUAGUUCAAUUUCGGAAGUUAAGCACUUAACAAAAUAAUUUGUUAAAAAUGUUCGAUAAAAAUAAUUAUUAAAAUUAAAACAAGCGAAAAACAAUAUAAUACUCGUCAAAUUAUGUCGUCCGAUAAUAUCGCUGAGUGGUGUACCGAAUGGUUUUUCAAUUUAUGACGUUGCAUAUUCUGUCCAAUUAUGCAAAUAUAUGACAUGCUGCUAACUUUUUUAUACAUGAAAAAUAAUUUAAGUAAAUAAGCAAAACAUCAUAAUAAACACAUUUCAAAUAAAAUGCUGCAUAAUUGCUAACCAAAUUAAAAUGUAUUUUAAUUAUAUCAGCAGUUUCAAUUAAAGCGUUUUUAGAAUAGUUAUGGUAAAACUUUACACGGUGUGAAAGUUUUUUUUACAAAAUCGAAUAGCCUUGUAUAACCAAAAAUAUGAUUUUUUGAAUAUGGAAUUUGACUUAACUGCAGCCAUCAGAAAUUAUGUUGUUCAGAAUUUUAAUAAUAUGAUCAGAGUAGAUGUAUGAAGACCAUACAAUUUAAGCAAUGAGGGUGAUUUUGAACACCCUCUAAAAAUAUUACCUGACCUUUUAUGUUAGCCAAAUUACAUGGUUCAGCAUUCUUGAAUUGACCUUAUUACAGUAUAAAUGGUAAACGACGCGUAAAAUGAUAUCAUUUGAAAAAUCAUUUCGAUUAUGUUUCAACGAAACUAAUGCAUACAUAUUAUAAUACAUACUACAAAUUACAAUAAUUGUUAAGUAAGAAUAAUAUUUUGAAAUCGGCGAAUUAUUUUUCAAUAUACAUAUUACAUAUACAAGAACAGAAAUUACACUGAUAUCUAAAAAUUAAUAAAAGUUUGAAAUAUGAAAUACAUUUUUAUAACAAAUAAUCAAGAAUAUUGAUUAUCAAUCCUAGUUAUCUAACAUACAGAGAAUAAUUGAAACAAUUU